UGCACACUCUAGGGUUGUUGCUGUGUGUUACCUGAUUUUCUCCUCCCUCAUCCACUCACCUUUUUCCAUAUUUGCUUUGUCCUUUUGACAUUUGCUUGUCUCUUAACUUCUGCAGGCACAUUUACCCAUCUCAUUCUUAAAUUAAAGGGCCACUCCAAGGUUCUGUAGUGAUUAUAGUAUUAUUGUUGCCCCCACAAUGUACGUAAUUAAAACACUUUUAGAACGGCUUAGCUUUUUACCUGGGGUUUGCCUCUGCAGGGCUUUGCUCAUUGGCUGAAAGUGAUCAGCUGACCCUGCACUGCUGGCUUGGCUCAGGAGAGCUAACAAAAGCUCCUAAGCAGGGGCCUCAUCGCUCUCUUUGAGCUGUAGUAAAGAGAAGAGGGGAACUGUGUCUUGUGGACCCCAAGUAAG
This is a non-coding RNA of Pelobates cultripes (western spadefoot toad), 411 nucleotides long. The record is from the annotation of a GenBank genome assembly. Lineage: Eukaryota; Metazoa; Chordata; Amphibia; Anura; Pelobatidae.